GCUCAGAUUGAACGCUAGCGGGAUGCCUUACACAUGCAAGUCGAACGGCAGCACGGACUUCGGUCUGGUGGCGAGUGGCGAACGGGUGAGUAAUGUAUCGGAACGUGCCUAGUAGCGGGGGAUAACUACGCGAAAGCGUAGCUAAUACCGCAUACGCCCUACGGGGGAAAGCAGGGGAUCGUAAGACCUUGCACUAUUAGAGCGGCCGAUAUCGGAUUAGCUAGUUGGUGGGGUAAUGGCUCACCAAGGCGACGAUCCGUAGCUGGUUUGAGAGGACGACCAGCCACACUGGGACUGAGACACGGCCCAGACUCCUACGGGAGGCAGCAGUGGGGAAUUUUGGACAAUGGGGGAAACCCUGAUCCAGCCAUCCCGCGUGUGCGAUGAAGGCCUUCGGGUUGUAAAGCACUUUUGGCAGGAAAGAAACGCCGCGGGUUAAUACCCUGCGGAACUGACGGUACCUGCAGAAUAAGCACCGGCUAACUACGUGCCAGCAGCCGCGGUAAUACGUAGGGUGCAAGCGUUAAUCGGAAUUACUGGGCGUAAAGCGUGCGCAGGCGGUUCGGAAAGAAAGAUGUGAAAUCCCAGAGCUUAACUUUGGAACUGCAUUUUUAACUACCGAGCUAGAGUGUGUCAGAGGGAGGUGGAAUUCCGCGUGUAG
This 661-nucleotide ribosomal RNA is filed under the name Achromobacter sp. 110609_136_C_B2. RNAcentral describes it as "bacterial SSU rRNA". It matches the Rfam family "Bacterial small subunit ribosomal RNA", at positions 22 to 678 of the family's 1533-position model. The record is from RNAcentral. Lineage: Bacteria; Pseudomonadati; Pseudomonadota; Betaproteobacteria; Burkholderiales; Alcaligenaceae.